This 520-nucleotide ribosomal RNA is filed under the name uncultured Glomus. RNAcentral describes it as "SSU rRNA". It matches the Rfam family "Eukaryotic small subunit ribosomal RNA", at positions 569 to 1092 of the family's 1831-position model. The record is from RNAcentral. Lineage: Eukaryota; Fungi; Glomeromycota; Glomeromycetes; Glomerales; Glomeraceae.
AGCAGCCGCGGUAAUUCCAGCUCCAAUAGCGUAUAUUAAAGUUGUUGCAGUUAAAAAGCUCGUAGUUGAAUUUCGGGACCAAUAUGUUGGUCGUGCCUAGGUACGUACUGGCAUUAUUGGUUUCUUCCUUCUGAAGAACCACGAUGCCAUUAAUUUGGUGUCAUGGGGAAUCAGGACUGUUACUUUGAAAAAAUUAGAGUGUUUAAAGCAGGCUCGCGCUUGGAUACAUUAGCAUGGAAUAAUGAAUUAGGACGUUUGAUUCUAUUUUGUUGGUUUCUAGGAUCGACGUAAUGAUUAAUAGGGAUAGUUGGGGGCAUUAGUAUUCAAUUGUCAGAGGUGAAAUUCUUGGAUUUAUUGAAGACUAACUACUGCGAAAGCAUUUGCCAAGGAUGUUUUCAUUAAUCAAGAACGAAAGUUAGGGGAUCGAAGACGAUCAGAUACCGUCGUAGUCUUAACCAUAAACUAUGCCGACUAGGGAUCGGAUGAUGUUAAUUUUUAAUGACUCAUUCGGCGCCUUACG